RNAcentral lists this ribosomal RNA (460 nucleotides) under uncultured bacterium. RNAcentral describes it as "partial 16S ribosomal RNA". It matches the Rfam family "Bacterial small subunit ribosomal RNA", at positions 338 to 795 of the family's 1533-position model. The record is from RNAcentral.
CCUACGGGUGGCAGCAGUGAGGAAUAUUGGUCAAUGGACGAGAGUCUGAACCAGCCACGUAGCGUGAAGGAUGACUGCCCUAUGGGUUGUAAACUUCUUUUAUAUGGGAAUAAAACGUUCCACGUGUGGGAUUUUGUAUGUACCAUAUGUAUAAGGAUCGCCUAACUCCGUGCCAGCAGCCGCGGUAAUACGGAGGAUCCGAGCGUUAUCCGGAUUUGUUGGGUUUAAAGGGAGCGUAGGUGGAUUGUUAAGUCAGUUGUGAAAGUUUGCGGCUCAACCGUAGAAUUGCAGUUGAAACUGGCAGUCUAGAGUACAGUAGAGGUGGGCGGAAUUCGUGGUGUAGCGGUGAAAUGCUUAGAGAUCACGAAGAACUCCGAUUGCGAAGGCAGUUCACUGGACUGAAACUGACACUGAGGUUCGAAAGUGUGGGUAGCAAACAGGAUUAGAUACCCCAGUAGUC